ACCCUACUAUGCCUUAGCUGUAAAAAAACAAUUAAACAACCAAUUGUUCGCCAAAUAACUACGAGCAAAAGCUUAAAAUUUAAAAGACUUGACGGUACUUCACAACAGCCUAGAGGAGCCUGUCCAAUAACCGAUAAUCCACGAUCAACCCAACCACCACUAGCCACACAGUCUAUAUACCGCCGUCGCCAGCCUACCUUGUGAAAGCAAAAAAGUAAGCACAACAGCACAUAACGCUAACACGACAGGUCGAGGUGUAACUAAUGAGGUGGACAAGAUGGGCUACAUUUUCUAACACAGAACAAACGGAUAUACCAUGAAACUGGAAACUGAAGGAGGAUUUAGCAGUAAGAUAAGAACAACACACUCAACUGAAAAUAGCAAUGAAGUGCGUACACACCGCCCGUCAUCCCUACAAAUCAAUACUUAUAUACAUAAAACAAAAUAAACCAAAUAACUA
RNAcentral lists this ribosomal RNA (460 nucleotides) under Rhamphiophis oxyrhynchus. RNAcentral describes it as "partial 12S ribosomal RNA". The record is from RNAcentral. Lineage: Eukaryota; Metazoa; Chordata; Lepidosauria; Squamata.